UACGAAGGGGGCCAGCGUUGUCCGGAUUCAUUGGGCGUAAAGCGCGUGUAGGCGGCCAGGUAGGUCCGAUGUGAAAUCUGGAGGCUCAACCUCCAGCGGUCAUUGGAAACCAUCUGGCUAGAGGCCGGAAGAGGAGAGUGGAAUUCCUGGUGUAGCGGUGAAAUGCGCAGAUAUCAGGAAGAACACCAAUGGCGAAGGCAGCUCUCUGGGACGGUACUGACGCUGAGACGCGAAAGCGUGGGGAGCGAACAGG
Molecule: ribosomal RNA, 253 nt
Filed under: uncultured bacterium
Lineage: Bacteria
Description: partial 16S ribosomal RNA
Rfam family: Bacterial small subunit ribosomal RNA
Source: RNAcentral